AACGCACAUUGCGCCCGCCAGUAUUCUGGCGGGCAUGCCUGUUCGAGCGUCAUUUCAACCCUCAAGCACUGCUUGGUGUUGGGGCACUACAGGGGCGACAUCGCCCGCGUAGGCCCCUAAAUAUAGUGGCGGACCCGCUGGAAGUCCGAGCGCAGUAGUUUUCUCUCGCUCCGGAGGACCCGGCGGUUGCCUUGCCGUUAAACCCCCCCCUUUCUUAAGGUUGACCUCGGAUCAGGUAGGAAUACCCGCUGAACUUAA
RNAcentral lists this unclassified non-coding RNA (258 nucleotides) under uncultured fungus. Its description in RNAcentral is "sequence contains ITS2". The stretch from base 1 to 52 matches the Rfam family "5.8S ribosomal RNA", at positions 103 to 154 of the family's 154-position model. Lineage: Eukaryota; Fungi. The record is from RNAcentral.